CGCGCAGGUGGCGGUGUUGGCCCGGCGUGAAAGCCCCCGGCUCAACCGGGGAGGGUCGUCGGGGACCGCACCGCUUGAGGGCGGUAGGGGCUGGUGGAAUGCCUGGUGUAGUGGUGAAAUGCGUAGAGAUCAGGCGGAACACCCGUAGCGAAGGCGGCCAGCUGGGCCGUCCCUGACACUGAGGCGCGAAGGCGUGGGGAGCGAAG
This 206-nucleotide ribosomal RNA is filed under the name uncultured bacterium. RNAcentral describes it as "partial 16S ribosomal RNA". It matches the Rfam family "Bacterial small subunit ribosomal RNA", at positions 568 to 773 of the family's 1533-position model. The record is from RNAcentral.